RNAcentral lists this ribosomal RNA (253 nucleotides) under uncultured bacterium. RNAcentral describes it as "partial 16S ribosomal RNA". It matches the Rfam family "Bacterial small subunit ribosomal RNA", at positions 524 to 776 of the family's 1533-position model. The record is from RNAcentral.
UACGUAGGAUGCGAGCGUUGUCCGGAAUUAUUGGGCGUAAAGCGAACGUAGGCGGUUUCUUAAGAUUGGUCUUAAAGACCGGGGCUCAACCCCGGGAAUGGAUCGAUAACUGGGAGACUAGAGGACGUCAGAGGAAAGUGGAAUUCCGAGUGUAGCGGUGAAAUGCGUAGAUAUUCGGAGGAACACCAGUGGCGAAAGCGACUUUCUGGGACGUUCCUGACGCUGAGGUUCGAAAGCUCGGGGAGCAAACAGG